RNAcentral lists this ribosomal RNA (469 nucleotides) under uncultured bacterium. RNAcentral's name for it is "partial 16S ribosomal RNA". It matches the Rfam family "Bacterial small subunit ribosomal RNA", at positions 28 to 507 of the family's 1533-position model. The record is from RNAcentral.
GACGAACGCUGGCGGCGUGCUUAACACAUGCAAGUCGAACGGUGAAGCGAGUGCUUGCACUCGUGGAUCAGUGGCGAACGGGUGAGUAACACGUGAGUAACCUGCCCAUCACUCUGGGAUAAGCACUGGAAACGGUGUCUAAUACUGGAUACGACCAACCCUUGCAUGGGGUGUUGGUGGAAAGAUUUAUCGGUGAUGGAUGGACUCGCGGCCUAUCAGCUUGUUGGCGGGGUAAUGGCCGACCAAGGCGACGACGGGUAGCCGGCCUGAGAGGGUGACCGGCCACACUGGGACUGAGAGACGGCCCAGACUCCUACGGGAGGCAGCAGUGGGGAAUAUUGCACAAUGGGCGAAAGCCUGAUGCAGCGACGCCGCGUGAGGGAUGACGGCCUUCGGGUUGUAAACCUCUUUCAGCAGGGAAGAAGCGAAAGUGACGGUACCUGCAGAAGAAGCACCGGCUAACUACGUG